AGCCUGCCCACUGAUUGAAAUUUAAAGGGCCGCGGUAUACUGACCGUGCGAAGGUAGCAUAAUCAUUAGUCUUUUAAUUGAAGGCUUGUAUGAAUGGUUGGACAAAAAGUAAGCUGUCUCAGUUAUAAUAAUUGAAUUUAACUUUUAAGUGAAAAGGCUUAAAUGGAUUAAGGGGACGAUAAGACCCUAUAAAGCUUGACAAUAAGUUAAUUAUAUUAUAAAUUGUUAGUAUAACUUGAUUUUAAUUGACGUUUGUUACGUUGGGGCGACGAAAAUAUAAUGAGUAACUGUUCUUAAAUGUUUAUUGACAAAUAUAAUUGGUAUUUGAUUGAUCCUUUAUUAAAGAUUAAAAGAUUAAGUUACUUUAGGGAUAACAGCGUAAUCUUCUUUGAGAGUUCAUAUCGACAAGAAGGUUUGCGACCUCGAUGUUGAAUUAAGGUAUCCUUAUGAUGCAGCAGUUAUAAAGG
RNAcentral lists this ribosomal RNA (467 nucleotides) under Penaeus semisulcatus. RNAcentral describes it as "partial 16S ribosomal RNA". It matches the Rfam family "Bacterial large subunit ribosomal RNA", at positions 1856 to 2570 of the family's 2925-position model. Lineage: Eukaryota; Metazoa; Arthropoda; Malacostraca; Decapoda; Penaeidae. The record is from RNAcentral.